This 262-nucleotide long non-coding RNA is filed under the name Panax ginseng (ginseng). RNAcentral's name for it is "long non-coding RNA (PGIN_LNC016475)". Lineage: Eukaryota; Viridiplantae; Streptophyta; Magnoliopsida; Apiales; Araliaceae. The record is from RNAcentral.
UCUUGUGUAUUCUUUUAUUCUCCUUUCAUUUCAAAACAAAAGGCUAGAAUCAUAUGCUUCAUGCCUAAGGAUUUCUACAAGUUAGUUAAAGCUAGCUUCUCAAGAUUAAUUUAUAUAUGACGAUCAGAAUAUUUUCCUUUUAAUAGAUGUAUUAAAAAAAUGGUUAUCUUCACAUCUUUUUACUUUUAUAAGCAUUCACAAUGUCAACUAAACAGAGAUUGAAUUAGGCUAGACUAGGACGGGUAUCAAAUCAACAAAAAAA